UAACUUCUUAAUUAAUGAAUUUCUAAUUCAUAUUUGGGCACCCCGGAAGUUUU
This 53-nucleotide transfer RNA is filed under the name Diximermis spiculatus. Its description in RNAcentral is "tRNA-Ser". Lineage: Eukaryota; Metazoa; Nematoda; Enoplea; Mermithida; Mermithidae. The record is from RNAcentral.